CCUACGGGUGGCAGCAGUGAGGAAUAUUGGUCAAUGGACGAGAGUCUGAACCAGCCAAGUAGCGUGAAGGAUGACUGCCCUAUGGGUUGUAAACUUCUUUUAUAUGGGAAUAAACUGUUCCACGUGUGGCAUUUUGUAUGUACCAUAUGAAUAAGGAUCGGCUAACUCCGUGCCAGCAGCCGCGGUAAUACGGAGGAUCCGAGCGUUAUCCGGAUUUAUUGGGUUUAAAGGGAGCGUAGAUGGGUUGUUAAGUCAGUUGUGAAAGGUUGCGGCUCAACCGUAAAAUUGCAAGUGAUACUGGCAGUCUUGAGUACAGUUGAGGUAAGCGGAAUUCGAGGUGUAGCGGUGAAAUGCGUAGAUAUCACGAAGAACCCCGAUUGCGAAGGCAGCUUACUAAACUGUGACUGACAUUGAUGCUCGAAAGUGUGGGUAUCAAACAGGAUUAGAUACCCGGGUAGUC
Molecule: ribosomal RNA, 460 nt
Filed under: uncultured bacterium
Lineage: Bacteria
Description: partial 16S ribosomal RNA
Rfam family: Bacterial small subunit ribosomal RNA
Source: RNAcentral